Molecule: ribosomal RNA, 253 nt
Filed under: uncultured bacterium
Lineage: Bacteria
Description: partial 16S ribosomal RNA
Rfam family: Bacterial small subunit ribosomal RNA
Source: RNAcentral
UACGGAGGGUGCAAGCGUUAAUCGGAAUUACUGGGCGUAAAGCGUGCGCAGGCGGUUCCAUAAGACAGAUGUGAAAUCCCCGGGCUCAACCUGGGAACUGCAUUUGUGACUGUGGAGCUAGAGUACGGUAGAGGGGGAUGGAAUUCCGCGUGUAGCAGUGAAAUGCGUAGAUAUGCGGAGGAACACCAAUGGCGAAGGCAAUCCCCUGGACCUGUACUGACGCUCAUGCACGAAAGCGUGGGGAGCAAACAGG